GGGUUGUGAGGUUAAGCGACUAAGCGUACACGGUGGAUGCCCUGGCAGUCAGAGGCGAUGAAGGACGUGCUAAUCUGCGAAAAGCGACGGUAAGGUGAUAUGAACCGCUACAGCCGUCGAUGUCCGAAUGGGGAAACCCGGUGCACUCUGUGCAUCAUCGUUUGAUGAAUACAUAGUCAAACGAGGCGAACCGGGGGAACUGAAACAUCUAAGUACCCCGAGGAAAAGAAAUCAACCGAGAUUCCCCCAGUAGCGGCGAGCGAACGGGGAGCAGCCCAGGACCUGAAUCAGCUUGUGCAUCAGUGGAAGCGUCUGGAAAGUCGCGCGAUACCGGGUGACAGCCCCGUACACGAAGAUGCAUGAGUUGUGAGUCCGACGAGUAGGGCGGGACACGUGGUAUCCUGUCUGAACAUGGGGGGACCAUCCUCCAAGGCUAAAUACUCCUGACUGACCGAUAGUGAACCAGUACCGUGAGGGAAAGGCGAAAAGAACCCCGGCGAGGGGAGUGAAACAGAACCUGAAACCGUGUACGUACAAGCAGUGGGAGCCUACCUGUUAGGUGACUGCGUACCUUUUGUAUAAUGGGUCAGCGACUUAUAUUCUGUAGCAAGGUUAACCGCAUAGGGGAGCCGAAGGGAAACCGAGUCUUAAUUGGGCGUUAAGUUGCAGGGUAUAGACCCGAAACCCGGUGAUCUAGCCAUGGGCAGGUUGAAGGUUGGGUAACACUAACUGGAGGACCGAACCGACUAAUGUUGAAAAAUUAGCGGAUGACUUGUGGCUGGGGGUGAAAGGCCAAUCAAACCGGGAGAUAGCUGGUUCUCCCCGAAAGCUAUUUAGGUAGCGCCUCGUGAACUCAUCUCCGGGGGUAGAGCACUGUUUCGGCUAGGGGGCCAUCCCGGCUUACCAACCCGAUGCAAACUGCGAAUACCGGAGAAUGUUAUCACGGGAGACACACGGCGGGUGCUAACGUCCGUCGUGAAGAGGGAAACAACCCAGACCGCCAGCUAAGGUCCCAAAGUCAUGGUUAAGUGGGAAACGAUGUGGGAAGGCACAGACAGCCAGGAUGUUGGCUUAGAAGCAGCCAUCAUUUAAAGAAAGCGUAAUAGCUCACUGGUCGAGUCGGCCUGCGCGGAAGAUGUAACGGGGCUAAACCAUGCACCGAAGCUGCGGCAGCGACAYGUAWRUGUUGUUGGGUAGGGGAGCGUUCUGUAAGCCGCUGAAGGUGUGCUGUGAGGCAYGCUGGAGGUAUCAGAAGUGCGAAUGCUGACAUAAGUAACGAUAAAGCGGGUGAAAAGCCCGCUCGCCGGAAGACCAAGGGUUCCUGUCCAACGUUAAUCGGGGCAGGGUGAGUCGACCCCUAAGGCGAGGCUGAAAAGCGUAGUCGAUGGGAAACAGGUUAAUAUUCCUGUACUUGGUGUUACUGCGAAGGGGGGACGGAGAAGGCUAGGUUAUCCGGGCGACGGUUGUCCCGGUUUAAGCGUGCAGGUGUGAAGACCAGGCAAAUCCGGUCUUCUUUAACACUGAGGCGUGAUGACGAGCCGCCACGGCGGUGAAGUAACUGAUGCCCUGCUUCCAGGAAAAGCCUCUAAGCUCCAGGUAACACGAAAUCGUACCCCAAACCGACACAGGUGGUCAGGUAGAGAAUACCAAGGCGCUUGAGAGAACUCGGGUGAAGGAACUAGGCAAAAUGGUGCCGUAACUUCGGGAGAAGGCACGCUGGCGCGUAGGUGAGGGGACUUGCUCCCGGAGCCGAGGCCAGUCGAAGAUACCAGCUGGCUGCAACUGUUUAUUAAAAACACAGCACUGUGCAAACACGAAAGUGGACGUAUACGGUGUGACGCCUGCCCGGUGCCGGAAGGUUAAUUGAUGGGGUUAUCCGCAAGGAGAAGCUCUUGAUCGAAGCCCCGGUAAACGGCGGCCGUAACUAUAACGGUCCUAAGGUAGCGAAAUUCCUUGUCGGGUAAGUUCCGACCUGCACGAAUGGCGUAAUGAUGGCCAGGCUGUCUCCACCCGAGACUCAGUGAAAUUGAAAUCGCUGUGAAGAUGCAGUGUACCCGCGGCAAGACGGAAAGACCCCGUGAACCUUUACUAUAGCUUGACACUGAACAUUGAGCCUUGAUGUGUAGGAUAGGUGGGAGGCUUUGAAGCGCGGACGCCAGUCUGCGUGGAGCCAACCUUGAAAUACCACCCUUUAAUGUUUGAUGUUCUAACGUAGGCCCGUAAUCCGGGCUGCGGACAGUGUCUGGUGGGUAGUUUGACUGGGGCGGUCUCCUCCCAAAGCGUAACGGAGGAGCACGAAGGUUGGCUAAUCCUGGUCGGACAUCAGGAGGUUAGUGCAAUGGCAUAAGCCAGCUUGACUGCGAGAGUGACGGCUCGAGCAGGUGCGAAAGCAGGUCAUAGUGAUCCGGUGGUUCUGAAUGGAAGGGCCAUCGCUCAACGGAUAAAAGGUACUCCGGGGAUAACAGGCUGAUACCGCCCAAGAGUUCAUAUCGACGGCGGUGUUUGGCACCUCGAUGUCGGCUCAUCACAUCCUGGGGCUGAAGUAGGUCCCAAGGGUACGGCUGUUCGCCGUUUAAAGUGGUACGCGAGCUGGGUUUAGAACGUCGUGAGACAGUUCGGUCCCUAUCUGCCGUGGGCGCUGGAGAAUUGAGGGGGGUUGCUCCUAGUACGAGAGGACCGGAGUGAACGCACCGCUGGUGUUCGGGUUGUCAUGCCAAUGGCACUGCCCGGUAGCUAAGUGCGGAAGAGAUAAGUGCUGAAAGCAUCUAAGCACGAAACUUGCCCCGAGAUGAGUUCUCCCUGACCCUUUAAGGGUCCUGAAGGGACGUUGAAGACGACGACGUUGAUAGGCCGGGUGUGUAAGCGCAGCGAUGCGUUGAGCUAACCGGUACUAAUGACCCGUGAGGCUUAACCUUACAACGCCAGAGGCGUUUUG
This 2935-nucleotide ribosomal RNA is filed under the name Pantoea dispersa 625. RNAcentral's name for it is "23S ribosomal RNA". The record is from RNAcentral. Lineage: Bacteria; Pseudomonadati; Pseudomonadota; Gammaproteobacteria; Enterobacterales; Erwiniaceae.